GAUUCAAUUUCUCUAAAUAGCAAUAGCUCUCAUACCACUGCAAGUGAAAUCUCAAAUCUGAUUGGUCAGAAGGUGUGCAUUAUUUUUGUACAACAGCACAGCUCAGCCAGUAACACCAGCUGUAACAUGAAUUAUAGGUUUAUAUUAAUGUACUCAUUCAUUAUUGUUUCUAAAGUAACAGCUUAUGCAGAGAGAUUUAUAUGGAAGGCACUCUACAUAAUCUAAGACUGAUAUUAACCAGAGUAAAAAACAUGUUUUAGCAAAGUAAAAUGUAUAAUCAUUGAUGGGAUGAUGUUUUUUGUUAGGAGACAUUUAUUUAACAUUUAUGUAAAGAUUCUUGGUUGUAAGUGCCUUGUGACAGUCAUGGUGCUUUGCAAAGUUUUCCAGUAGGAAACUAGAAAGACAGCAAACCAAGCAGGUGAGGGAGUCUAGUGAGGGAAGAACUGUUUAUCAUGGCUAUAACAAGAGAGAAUGAUAGCAAGAACUAACUUGUCUCUCGUAUAUUCCACAGCAUUAACUCUAACUAGAAACCAUUAAAAUGUGUGAUGUGUUGUUCAUUAAUAAAGUAAACCGUGUACAUAGAGAUGCACCGAUGUAUGGUUUAUAAACAUUCUAUGAUCAUGGCUGAUUAUAUCCUGUCAAUAAAAAGAGGGCAGGAAAACACAUCGAUUUCCUGCUGUGUGUAAAGAUGGUAUCUCUGGGGUGGAAUGACAACAAAACUGCAGCUCUGCACUGCAAAAACUUUACACCAGACGCUGCAACAGUGAAGCAGGAGUUUCGGCGUCGAGUCAAAUUUUUUUUUUGCCACGCUGCUCAAGCUGCUUGCGCUGCUCGCGCUGAAUUAAAGUGCCAGUACACUGUUGAAAAAUUUAAAUGAAGAUCAAGUAUAUAAUGCACAGAAAAAAAAUAUAUUUGUAGAGUAGUAUAUUUCAUAUCCAGUUAAUGUUAAUAUAUAUAAAAAAGUUUAUAUUAUAUAUUACCAGUUUGAAGUUAUUGAUGAAGUAGAAAUGCUUUUGUUUGUGGUGAGUGAGACUAACAGGAGUUUUUUUUUAGAAUUCAGUCAAUUAAUACUGUUAAUGUGAAUUAAUAACAUUCAAUAAGUUAAGAAAUCUUACUUUAAUCUUCAGAAUUUAGUUAAUGUGUUAAUGUUAAUUUGAGUAAUGUGUUUUCUGUGUAUGAGAACAGUUACUGUGAAACAACUUGUUGAAAUGGAGAGAAUAAAGUUUUUAUUUGCAUUUCUUUCAGAAUUGUGGAAUUAAUUAUUAUUAAUUUAAAAGAAGGCAUAAAAGGCAGAACUAUCUGUACCGGCCGAUAUCAAGAAUAAUCUGUUAUCGGUAUCGGCUGAGAAAUUUAGUAUCGGUGUAUCUCUAUUUGUAAACAUUGUUGGAAAAUUGCAGUGGUAUAAUUGCAUAAGCACAAUAACUCACUCACUGUGCUGUUAUACCAAACAAAACAAAACAAAACCUCUGCUUCACACUGAGUUGCAUCAUUCCCCCCUUGUGUGCAUUAUUUUUGCAUAACCUCAUGGUCUGUGAGUUAUUCAUUACUUCUUACAUACUAUAUGGUCAUAAAUAAAGUAUAGCUAUGAGAAUAGAGAGUAGACCAAUUCACUGCUGUACAGUAUAAUACAUAGCCUACUGUUUUUCUUUGUUAUACAUUUGCUGUACUUACACAACCUUAUCUUUUGUAUCAUUUUAUCAUAACCACAGCACAUGCAUGUGUUAUAGCUAGUGCAUUCACUGUUUGACUUUUGUUAUAUUGUCAAUUGGUAUAUAAUUUAACCAAUAACACUGUCUCAAAUGUAGACCAAUUCUGUGGGAAAACUGCAGACCUGGCAACACUGCUGUUAUCCAAAUUAAAGAGUAAAAGUAGCUGUUCAAAACAGCUUCAAAGUAAGCACAGAUCAAAAUUUCUUUAAAUAUUUUUUUUCUCACUCUUUCACACACAAAUUUAACACAGGCCAGUCAAAAUGGUUUGUGCGUUUGUCUGUGUGGGCAAAAAUAAAACUGUUUUUUUUUCACAUAUAACAAAUGGCCACUCCAGCACAAUGGCUAAUCCCACAUAUAUCCUGCUGUUGUGAUAAAUAAUACACUUGAGAGAAAAAUUUCACAUUACAGAAAACAAAUCCAUCAUGUUGGUCUUGUUAAACAUAUUUAUCAGUGGGGGAAAUGGAAUCAUAUGCUAGCCAUUGAUACAAACUAUGGAAGUUUAAAAAUAAAAGAGAAAGAUUAUGUAUUUUCAGUGUUAUUGAUACCAACUGUAAACAAACAAACAAACAAACAAACAAACAAACAAACAAAAAAACACUGAGCAAGCAUGUGAUAUCACCAGGAAAAUAUAAGUGGCUAUAAGUUGCAUGUCACAGCAGGGUGCUGUUCAAAAAACUGCAUUUAUAUUUAAUUGAAAAUGGUAUAUAAAUCAGACAAUCUAACACUGAUCUUUUGGAACUGACAUUGAUAAAGCAUAAUCAUAUUGGGACUUUGGACUAUAUGGACUGACAUGAUUCAUCAUUGCCUAUUCACCUUUUUUUAGUCAUCCUGGUCACGUUGAAUGUCGCACCAUAAUAACUCAAGGUGAAUGGACUUGUGUUGUAAUCUUGAAAAUGAUGAUCAUAUGAUGUGCUCAGACAGAACCUGAAUUCAAACCUGCAUGUACAGACCUAUACAUUUGGAAAACAAAACAAUCCAAUAUUUGCAACACAAGACUGCUGAAGAACUUUUGUUCUGUAAACAGAGAAGACAAAUGGUUUGAAAGAUGAGGCGAUCUAUGUCAGUCUCACGAAGAGUCUCAGAAUGGAGAAAACAAUCUGAGCACCAGCUUCUAAUUAAUGUUGUACUAGGAUAUUUACAGUACACACCACUCAACACCCCCAGAACCCAAUGCCAUGUCAGCAUCUUUAUGUCACAUGAAUGAAUAAAUGUUAAAUGACUUUCCAUCAAGCAGUAGAGUGGACCUCUAGUAUGUGGCAAAGCAACAUUAUAAGAUAAGUCACCACUAUGACCAGUUACAUACUACAUGCAUUUACUGCUUCAUCCUCUGUACCAAAGAGACUGACCUAAAAAAGCAGUAAGUGCUUUUAUUGAAUUAAUUUGUUGCUUUCACACUGUGAACUGUGCAUUGCACCAGCACUUUUAAAUGUAAACUAAAUGAAAAAGGUUUCCAACAUAUUCUUUUUCCUAAAGACUCAAAAAUAUAGAAAGAAAGAAAGAAAGAAAGAAAGAAAGAAAGAAAGA
Molecule: long non-coding RNA, 3233 nt
Organism: Ictalurus punctatus (channel catfish)
Lineage: Eukaryota; Metazoa; Chordata; Actinopteri; Siluriformes; Ictaluridae
Source: Ensembl